GACGUACUCCCUCCGUUCGGAAUUACUUGUCUCAGAACUGAAUGUAUCUAGAACUAAAAUACGUCUAGAUACAUCCAUUUCCGUGACAAGUAAUUCCAAACGGAUGGAGUACGAG
Triticum aestivum (bread wheat) is the source of this 115-nucleotide non-coding RNA. The record is from Rfam. Lineage: Eukaryota; Viridiplantae; Streptophyta; Magnoliopsida; Poales; Poaceae.